UCGAUGAGAUCCCCAUUCACAUCAAUGGUCAUAGUCCGGUUUCCACGGUGACAAGCUCUGAUUACCACGACUACACAAGCAAGCGGCAUGGCAGCGAUGGUGAGGCAGAGACCUUAGCAAGUUGCCUGAUGCAGUUACCCACAUUUGUGUAGCUAUUAGAAGCAGAGAAUGUGUAAGAAAGGGACAGUCGACUACAUUGCCAAGAUAGAGUCCAAUGGCAACAUAAACAUGCUAUACUGAAUAUGGCUGCAGGACUGCAUCUGAAGACGACGAUGACUGUGGGAAGUGCUUUGAUCCCAAUGC
RNAcentral lists this long non-coding RNA (303 nucleotides) under Oryza brachyantha (malo sina). Its description in RNAcentral is "long non-coding RNA (OBRA_LNC002627)". The record is from RNAcentral. Lineage: Eukaryota; Viridiplantae; Streptophyta; Magnoliopsida; Poales; Poaceae.